This 503-nucleotide ribosomal RNA is filed under the name uncultured bacterium. RNAcentral describes it as "partial 16S ribosomal RNA". It matches the Rfam family "Bacterial small subunit ribosomal RNA", at positions 30 to 523 of the family's 1533-position model. The record is from RNAcentral.
AUUGAACGCUGGCGGCAGGCUUAACACAUGCAAGUCGAGCGGGGUGAUGGUGCUUGCACUAUCACUUAGCGGCGGACGGGUGAGUAAUGCUUAGGAAUCUGCCUAUUAGUGGGGGACAACAUCUCGAAAGGGAUGCUAAUACCGCGUACGUCCUACGGGAGAAAGCAGGGGAUCACUUGUGACCUCGCGCUAAUAGAUGAGCCUAAGUCGGAUUAGCUAGUUGGUGGGGUAAAGGCCUACCAAGGCGACGAUCCGUAGCGGGUCUGAGAGGAUGAUCCGCCACACUGGGACUGAGACACGGCCCAGACUCCUACGGGAGGCAGCAGUGGGGAAUAUUGGACAAUGGGGGGAACCCUGAUCCAGCCAUGCCGCGUGUGUGAAGAAGGCCUUAUGGUUGUAAAGCACUUUAAGCGAGGAGGAGGCUCUUUUGGUUAAUACCCAAGAUGAGUGGACGUUACUCGCAGAAUAAGCACCGGCUAACUCUGUGCCAGCCGCCGCAGUAA